Lemur catta (Ring-tailed lemur) is the source of this 83-nucleotide small nucleolar RNA. RefSeq annotates it as small nucleolar RNA SNORD60. NCBI's taxonomy places the organism in Eukaryota, Metazoa, Chordata, Mammalia, Primates, Lemuridae. The transcript has a single exon. The record is from RefSeq and is a predicted model, not a curated record.
AGCCAGGGAUGAACUGCUUUAAUUUCUGUCCCCUUGUAUGAAAGCUGCACAUACAGUCUGAUUAUUUUGCAAGACUAAGACUG